AGCAGCCGCGGUAAUUCCAGCUCCAAUAGCGUAUAUUAAAGUUGUUGCAGUUAAAAAGCUCGUAGUUGAAUUUCGGGAUCAAUAUAUCGGUCGUGCCUCCGGUAUGCACUGGUAUUAUUGAUUUCUACCUUCUGACGAACUGUGAUGUCAUUAAUUUGGUGUCAUGGGGAAUCAGGACUGUUACUUUGAAAAAUUAGAGUGUUUAAAGCAGGCACACGCUUGAAUACAUUAGCAUGGAAUAAUGAAAUAGGACGUUUGACCCUAUUUUGUUGGUUUCUAGGAUCGACGUAAUGAUUAAUAGGGAUAGUUGGGGCAUUAGUAUUCAAUUGUCAGAGGUGAAAUUCUUGGAUUUAUUGAAGACUAACUACUGCGAAAGCAUUUGCCAAGGAUAGUUUUCAUUAAUCAAGAACGAAAGUUAGGGGAUCGAAGACGAUCAGAUACCGUCGUAGU
RNAcentral lists this ribosomal RNA (450 nucleotides) under uncultured Glomeromycotina. RNAcentral describes it as "SSU rRNA". It matches the Rfam family "Eukaryotic small subunit ribosomal RNA", at positions 569 to 1024 of the family's 1831-position model. The record is from RNAcentral. Lineage: Eukaryota; Fungi; Glomeromycota.